CUAGCAUCACAAGUAUUAGAGGC
RNAcentral lists this non-coding RNA (23 nucleotides) under Cricetulus griseus (Chinese hamster). Lineage: Eukaryota; Metazoa; Chordata; Mammalia; Rodentia; Cricetidae. The record is from RNAcentral.